GCUCCUGUCAGAGCCGGGGCGGGAACCCAGGGGCGGAUGGGCCCGCGUGGACGCUGGAGGGUGGAUGGAGACGCGGGCAGACGCUGGUUCUCUGCGCUGUGCCCUCGCUUCUCCGAGUAAAACACACACUGUGGCGAGGAGCUCGGCGCCUAGGGGGCUCUGGGACACAGCUGAAGGUCAUGAACCCAAGUGGCAACGGCCACUGCAGCUCGAUCACAGGCCCCAAGGCCGAGGUACUAACCCUCGGCUGCCGUCCGUCUGGCGAGGGCCCCGGAACUCUGACCCGGCUCUUGCUCCAGCGCGCCUGGCCGCAACCCCGUGGGCCCCUUGCCGCCUGGGCGGCAGGGGCUGGAGCUGUGGCUUCCGUGAGGGGCAGGGCUGCCCGCACGUCACGUCGGGGAGGACCAACUCUUCUCCGCGCGCAGAAGUAGUGACGGUGUUGAACGGUAGUCUGCGACACCUGCCGGGGGAGGCCAGCCGCCAGAUCUGGGAUGGGGGCUGUUCUGGGGAGAAUGACCCAGUUUAUUAAUUAAGGGGCUGGAGGAAAAGAAAAAAAGGAGGACUGUCUGACAAUUAAAGCUUAAAGGAAAAGAAAAAAAGGAGGACUGUCUGACAAUUAAAGCUUAAAAGACACAAUUAAAUGGAUGUGAGGACCUUAUGUGGAUCAUGAUGGGAAAAACCAACUGCACAAAAGACAUUUGUGACACGGAGCCGGACUCCACCAGCAACCUAAAGGAGCCCCCUGGGAGCCCAGCCUGCCAGCACCUGCCACUGUGAGACCUGGAGGGGCACUGAGGCCCUGAAGAAUCCCGUGAGGUGGGCCUUACAUUUCCUGGCUUUAUUGGAUCAUGUUUUGGAUCUCAGCACAUGGAAUAGAUUGAUCCUAGCCCCUGCUCCCUUUGUCAGCACCUCCGCUCAUUCUUGUCCCACUUUGGAUAAUUGCUUUGUUUGGUGGCCGACUCCUCUGCCAAGGGGAAACCAGGGUUCCCAGGCUGGGAGACUUGCCUGGAUGAGGGACCUGAUGUCUAGCAGCAGAUCUCACCCCAACUCGUCUCUGGCAUACUGGCUUUAAGCAGGAAGGAUGUUCUUGGUAAGAAAAUGCCACAAGAAGGGGCCACAGAUGUUCCUGUUGAAAUUACCUUUGCAAAAAGAGUCCCAUCUGUUGCACAGGGAGACAAGAAUAGAACAGAACUCACAGCAUGUCCUUGAGAACUUUGGAAAGACAGCAGUUAGAUCCAGCUGUUCCAGGUGUGGUCAAGGGCCCUCCAUGGGCGCAGUUUUCUCUUCCGAAGAGCUGGGAAGACAGAGGCCCUGGCUUGCCGGAAGGAUGGGGAAGGAGGGAGGAGGCGGCAAGCCCCUCGCACCCUGGGGAGAGCUUAUGAAGCCUGUGGACAUGAGAGAUAAUUGAAUGUAAGGCUGAUUAAAUUGUUCCCCACCAGC
This is a long non-coding RNA of Neogale vison (American mink), 1440 nucleotides long. RefSeq lists it as uncharacterized. The record is from RefSeq and is a predicted model, not a curated record. The transcript has 2 exons. Lineage: Eukaryota; Metazoa; Chordata; Mammalia; Carnivora; Mustelidae.